CCUACGGGUGGCAGCAGUGGGGGAUAUUGCACAAUGGGGGAAACCCUGAUGCAGCGACGCCGCGUGUGGGAAGACGGUCUUCUGGAUUGUAAACCACUGUCCCCAGGGACGAAAUGACGGUACCUGGGGCGGAAGCUCCGGCUAACUACGUGCCAGCAGCCGCGGUAAUACGUCGGGAGCAAGCGUUGUCCGGAAUUACUGGGUGUAAAGGGAGCGUAGGCGGGGAUGCAAGUUGGGGGUCAACACUACCGGUUCAACCGAUAGUCGCACUUGAAACUGCAGCUCUUGAGUGAAGUAGAGGCAGGCGGAAUUCCUAGUGUAGCGGUGAAAUGCGUAGAUAUUAGGAGGAACACCAGUGGCGAAGGCGGCCUGCUGGGCUUUUACUGACGCUGAGGCUCGAAAGUGUGGGGAGCAAACAGGAUUAGAUACCCCAGUAGUC
This 439-nucleotide ribosomal RNA is filed under the name uncultured bacterium. RNAcentral describes it as "partial 16S ribosomal RNA". It matches the Rfam family "Bacterial small subunit ribosomal RNA", at positions 338 to 795 of the family's 1533-position model. The record is from RNAcentral.